Callithrix jacchus (white-tufted-ear marmoset) is the source of this 460-nucleotide non-coding RNA. The record is from RefSeq and is a predicted model, not a curated record. NCBI's taxonomy places the organism in Eukaryota, Metazoa, Chordata, Mammalia, Primates, Cebidae.
GGUGUCUCACUACAUUGUCCAGUCUGGUCUUGACCUCCUGGACUUGAAGCAAUCCUUAGCUUCCUGAGUACAUAGGACUGCAGAGCCUCACUCUAUUGCCCAGGCUGGAGUGCAGUGGCACAAUCUCUACUCCUUGCAACCUCCACCUCUUGAGUUCAAGCAACUCCCAUGCCUCAGCCACCCAAGUAGCUGGGACCACAGGACCAAUUUUGCAAUCUGGAAAUUGUGGCCACUUUACCCAGUAUAACCAUCACAGCUUAUUACUUUCUCUGGGGCCUGGAAGCUGAGGACCGAGGUUCAAGUCUAGAUUUACCAGUAGCUGAAUUUGAGCAAGGAAAGCAUCUCUGAACUUUAUUUUCCUCAUCUGAAAAAUGGGGAACAUAAUACCUGACGCAAAAAGUUUUUGUGAAUAAUAUAACACAUGUAAAAUGCUUGGCACAGUGCCUGGCACAGUACUUUC